AUCGUGAACAAUUUUGCGGCAAUGAGCUGUACGCACACGUCGUUGCAAGAUGAGCUAUUAAUAUGCGCGCGUAUAUACGAUGUCGCGUCUCCGCUCGCAAUCGUCAGGGGAUACGAUUUUCAAAAUAACAUAAGAUCUGAGUAACUGAUAUCUUAUUUAACGAUCAAAUGGUUUUCCAUUUAUAUAUUUAUAUUUAUUUCCAUGUUUUUUAUUUUCUUUGUUACGUAUAAAUCUUGUUUCGAGAGUAACAAUGAUUAAAAAUAAAUAAAUUGUGAUUUCUUUCUAACACGCUUCAUUCCACUUUUGAAAUUUAAAGAACAAUUUCUUAAAAGAGUUUUAUCUUGUAACAAGAUAUCAAUAUUUCAUUCUGAUAUACAGACGCAUUGAUUUAAGUUUACUAUUUAAGUUGUAUAUUACUUUACACGAAACAUUAGAUAUAUAGUAAAUCUCUCUUCCAUUUAAAGUAAUUUACUGUCAAUAAGACACGAUUCUCCUGACUCGAAAUGAUAUCUCUUUCGAUGUCAUAAAGUUUCUUAAUCAUAAACAAUAGACUUUCUCUCACUAUACAUAAUGCUCCUAUCUCCAACAACAGGUGAUUAUCGGCCAUUCUAUAGCUCGACAAUAAAAGCAGACCGGCUUUUUCGCUCCCGGCGCAAUAAAACCACGUUCACGCAUAUCGUGAACGUCGAAGAAACCAGUUAACGAUUUAGACUUUCCCCGUGCAGAAAAAAAAAUCUUCGUUGCAUCGCGACCACACCGGUAAAUAUCGUCGACCGAUCUCGUGCGAUCGCGCGACCCGCUUUAAUAGCGGACGAUCACGGAAUGUCGCGAGGAAAAUCGCAUUUAAUGCGGAGACACCGACCUCGAUUAUCACGUCAUUAACUAACAAGGAUUGAUACGCCAAAUGCAAUAGACACUCGGCGUCUCCCAUCUCCUUAAUAGAGACUUCAAUGCACGGUAUGUCGACCGAAGAAAAAAUAACGACGAUUACUCCGAUUUCUUUAUCGCAGCAUUCGUCACGGUAGACAAUCUCUUACUGUAAUGAUAUUACACAUCCGAAAAGUAUUAGGUUCACUGGAAACGAAUGUAAAUUAAACCGACAGUAAUUUACAAUAUCUCUCAGAACUGAUUUAAAUCAGUUUGUUGAUUUGUCAGAAACACAAAUGUUUAUUUAUGAAAGUUCUAGUCGUAUUGGAUUUGAUAAGUACCUCAAGGAUCCGUCCUCUUAAGAAAUCAAUAUCUCAUCACGUACCAUAAACGUGGUUCUGUCAAUUCGGAGUUUCAAGUUGCUCCGGUCACUAUCAGCGGCGAUCGAGCAAUCGGGAUGAGCAGGAAGAGAAUCGUUGCUACCCGGCGUGAAUCCACGUCUCCCCGACGAAAGUCAGCAACUGGCGGCGCCUCGAGUGAUCCUCGUGAGAUCUUUUCCUGUCGAUAGCCGACGAUGUCAGACGCUCGGUUCCAUGGUCAAACCGGCACGAUCGAACGUGAACACGAUAUAUCAGAAGGAAAUUGACGUGCUUUCACCGCACACGUAGAUUCUUGCACUUUGCUCGCAUGCGAUUCACCGCACAUCGUGACUAACGCAUCCCGAGAUCGCUACUACGUCAUCGCCAACGAUCAUCAACGAAGCUUACGGGACCCCAUGAAUGGCUUCGUAUGCGAUUGCGCGCGUGCAAUUGUAGUCGUCGUAGUCGUGACACUCGUCAAGCUGGUUUGCGCGCGACGCGCCGACGUGGUAUGCAGCUUGUGCUCUCGCGUGGGUUCUCUUUAUAAGAGGCGCACACACACAAAUGCGGUUGCAGUAACGGAUAACAACGAGGCACCAUGCAACAGGCAGACGAUCUGAUACACAGGAGCAACGAUGUAUAUUUUCAUAAAUUCACAUCAGGGCAUCAAUACUCGAAACUACAGAACUGCCAUGGAACUGGUCGUUGCCGUUAAAGUAGGGGAUUUACAGUAUCGUACACACCGUUUACGAGCUGUAGACUUGUGGUUGUGGUGUGACGCCUGUUGCGUUCACAAGGUCACACAUUCAUACCUGACUGCGUGCAUGUGCAAGUGAGAGAACCUUAUACAAAUGCCGUGAUGGACAAUAAACUUUUGUCUACGGACAAGUGCGUUUACAUACGUUCGUUGUAUAUUAUUUCAAACGCAUAUUUAAAUACGCAUGCCGUGAUGUCCGAUGUGCGUAUCUAAUUCUAUUUGAUCGCACGUGAUGACAUGCAAGGAUAACUUCGUCAGGUAUCACGGCCUUCGAAGUUAAGCAUGUUACAUAUUACAAAAACCAUACGCAUCUAUAAAGAAGAGAGAUGAUCUAAUUCAAUAUGCAUCACACAUAGAUUAGCGUUUAUUCGAGAAUCAAUUGUUUCAUUUUAUUAUACGCACGACCAGAUUAGAUAAAUUGCAUGUUUACGAUAUAAGAGAUGCUGGGUCUUUUCUUUCUAU
Molecule: long non-coding RNA, 2445 nt
Organism: Pseudomyrmex gracilis
Lineage: Eukaryota; Metazoa; Arthropoda; Insecta; Hymenoptera; Formicidae
Exons: 4
Source: RefSeq, a predicted model, not a curated record